GUACAUCCCUCAAAACACCACCAUCAUCGAAAGCCUUUUCAAGCUUUCCAUCAGGAAGAAUAACUUGAAAGCAAAUGUUAUCUUCCAUGAUACUUUCCUCAGAAAACACUAGAAUAAGUUCUCUGAGAAUCUGUCCACGAUGAAGAACAAUAACUUUCUUCACUCUUUCUCCCUGACUGGCUUGGUCCUGCAAAACAUCCAUGGGAGGAAGCAAAGCUGAUGCAAAUUAUAUGUCCUGAGAGAGAGCCACGGUGUCAUCAAGAGAAGAGUACUCCAUCCUAUCCAUGGUUUCUGUGUGGAAAGUUACUAUGCCACUAUCCUCUAAAGCAUCCACAUGAUGUAAUGUGUUAUGCUCUGGCAAGGAGUAUUUGGAGAAGGACGAAGCCAAACACAGCCAGACGAGCACCAUCGGAUGGCAGACCGGGGUCCCAGAACACCAAGCCGGAUGCCCUGUCUCGUCUGUUUGACCCCAAGCCCACAGCCAAGAAACCUGAGCCAAUCCUGCCACUGCACCGUGUGGUAGGAGCGGUAACGUGGCAGAUAGAAUCAGAGGUGAAGCGUGC
This is a long non-coding RNA of Gasterosteus aculeatus aculeatus (three-spined stickleback), 563 nucleotides long. Lineage: Eukaryota; Metazoa; Chordata; Actinopteri; Perciformes; Gasterosteidae. The record is from Ensembl.